GAUGAACGCUGUCGGCGUGCCUAAUACAUGCAAGUCGAGCGAACGGACGAGAAGCUUGCUUCUCUGAUGUUAGCGGCGGACGGGUGAGUAACACGUGGAUAACCUACCUAUAAGACUGGGAUAACUUCGGGAAACCGGAGCUAAUACCGGAUAAUAUUUUGAACCGCAUGGUUCAAAAGUGAAAGACGGUCUUGCUGUCACUUAUAGAUGGAUCCGCGCUGCAUUAGCUAGUUGGUAAGGUAACGGCUUACCAAGGCAACGAUGCAUAGCCGACCUGAGAGGGUGAUCGGCCACACUGGAACUGAGACACGGUCCAGACUCCUACGGGAGGCAGCAGUAGGGAAUCUUCCGCAAUGGGCGAAAGCCUGACNGGAGCACGCCGCGUGAGUGAUGAAGGUCUUCGGAUCGUAAAACUCUGUUAUUAGGGAAGAACAUAUGUGUAAGUAACUGUGCACAUCUUGACGGUACCUAAUCAGAAAGCCACGGCUAACUACGUGCCAGCAGCCGCGGUAAUACGUANGGUGGCAGCGUUAUCCGGAAUUAUUGGGCGUAAAGCGCGCGUAGGCGGUUUUUUAAGUCUGAUGUGAAAGCCCACGGCUCAACCGUGGAGGGUCAUUGGAAACUGGAAAACUUGAGUGCAGAAGAGGAAAGUGGAAUUCCAUGUGUAGCGGUGAGAUGCGCAGAGAUAUGGAGGAACACCAGUGGCGAAGGCGACUUUCUGGUCUGUAACUGACGCUGAUGUGCGAAAGCGUGGGGAUCAAACAGGAUUAGAUACCCUGGUAGUCCACGCCGUAAACGAUGAGUGCUAAGUGUUAGGGGGUUUCCGCCCCUUAGUGCUGCAGCUAACGCAUUAAGCACUCCGCCUGGGGAGUACGACCGCAAGGUUGAAACUCAAAGGAAUUGACGGGGACCCGCACAAGCGGUGGAGCAUGUGGUUUAAUUCGAAGCAACGCGAAGAACCUUACCAAAUCUUGACAUCCUUUGACAACUCUAGAGAUAGAGCCUUCCCCUUCGGGGGACAAAGUGACAGGUGGUGCAUGGUUGUCGUCAGCUCGUGUCGUGAGAUGUUGGGUUAAGUCCCGCAACGAGCGCAACCCUUAAGCUUAGUUGCCAUCAUUAAGUUGGGCACUCUAAGUUGACUGCCGGUGACAAACCGGAGGAAGGUGGGGAUGACGUCAAAUCAUCAUGCCCCUUAUGAUUUGGGCUACACACGUGCUACAAUGGACAAUACAAAGGGCAGCGAAACCGCGAGGUCAAGCAAAUCCCAUAAAGUUGUUCUCAGUUCGGAUUGUAGUCUGCAACUCGACUACAUGAAGCUGGAAUCGCUAGUAAUCGUAGAUCAGCAUGCUACGGUGAAUACGUUCCCGGGUCU
This 1372-nucleotide ribosomal RNA is filed under the name uncultured bacterium. RNAcentral's name for it is "bacterial SSU rRNA". It matches the Rfam family "Bacterial small subunit ribosomal RNA", at positions 28 to 1381 of the family's 1533-position model. The record is from RNAcentral.